CCCCUCUCAUCGGUGCACGCCGCGUCUCCAUGAGAUCGGUCGAACGACGAAAGCAAGUUCACGAAAGAUAAUUCAGAUAAUUGGAUCUGCUCUGAUUAUCCUCAUCGGCCGCUGGAGAUCAGGUCAUCCUCGUUGAGUAGAUGCUCUCAGGGAUAUCAUACACCACAGAGUCACUCGUGAGGAAGAGCCAUGUGUCGUGGAUCUCAGAGACACCGAUUACUUCCACUUCGGUUUCUUGGACCUGCCCCACAGCAAUCUGCAAGUUUACAAAAAAAUUAAUAAAUAAUAUGAGCACUGGAAGUUUCUAGUGUUAGACUGCAUCCCUAUUCACUUGAUUAUACUACGCCCAAAAAGUACGUACACUUAAGAGUACAUACUUUAGAGUGUGUAGUAAAAGAGCUGCCAAAGUUUGAGACCUACUACUUUGUCAUAAUUGCAACUAUUAGUUAUGUGCACCUUGUUAUCAUUUAAAGUGUGUAAUACAGAUCAGAAACACAGUGAGUCAAUGUUUAGAUAAAUUAGGUAGAUUUUCAUAAAAGCAUACUCAUGAAUAUGCUGCUGAGUCUUCUGGAGUCUAACUUGCUUUAUCUCAUCACAGUUAAUAUCCUCCACAUUAAAUAUUAGUGUUAGAGUGUGCUGUAUCUGGACUUUGGGUACUUUUGUAAUACUUCUGUCAUCAUACUACAGUUUGGGACGCACUCAUUCUGAUUCUGAAUAUUAUUUCAUGUUUCAGUUUGAUUAUCAUGUCAAGUCAACGAUUAGAUUCAGUUCAAUUUAAUAAUGCAUCAUGAUUACAUCAAAUUUAUUUUGUGCAUUUUUAUAAAAUUAUAUAAGCAGGCUACUUUUCAAAGUAAUUACUUCAAUUAAUUAAUUAAUUAUUGUAAAGUAUCAAUCAAAAUAAAUACAGCUUGAUUUCUUGUUCAUAACUGGCUUUUCUUCAUGUGAUAACUGCCAUUUCCAGUUCCAGCUCCUGUAUGUUUUAUGGACACAGUGGAUGGAUUAGUUGUUCAUUACGUACCAUCACAGAGGUGUAUGUGGAGGACUGAACUUUUCCCGGCUGUCGUUGAGGAUGCAGGGAUGAAGAUGGGUAAUGACCACAUCCUCUCCUUCAUACAGGUCCCACAGUGCCUGAUCCCUCCACAACGAUACCUAAAAAACCUUUUGACCACACUUCAGGUGAAGAUCCAGGACGGGAACAUGAGUGUUUCAUCCUCACCCCACACAGCUAGAAGAUUGAAAGUGGAGUGGAGCAUUUCACCGUCCUGUUCCUGAAUGUUUCUUUUAUUAGAUUCACCCAAUUUAGGUUAAUUCAUCCUUGAUUGGGGAACACAUUCAUUAUUAACUUAUUGCUUAUUAGCAUGCAUAUUACUAGUAUAUUGACAGUUUAUUGGUUCUUACAAAGCACAUAUUAAUACUUUAUUCUGUAUCUAACCAUAUUCUGGUACCCCACAUUUGAACAUAACCACUACAAUGACCAUACUAUCAGUAAGCAACAAGAAACAGUUUUUUGGGGAAAACUCCAAGUUAAUAUUGAAUGUGUUCAAUAAUCAGAAUCAGAAAGAGCUUUAUUGCCAAGUAUGCUUGCGCAUACAAGGAAU
Long non-coding RNA from Carassius auratus (goldfish), 1598 nucleotides. RefSeq lists it as uncharacterized. The transcript has 3 exons. NCBI's taxonomy places the organism in Eukaryota, Metazoa, Chordata, Actinopteri, Cypriniformes, Cyprinidae. The record is from RefSeq and is a predicted model, not a curated record.